This 266-nucleotide unclassified non-coding RNA is filed under the name Cylindrocladiella novae-zelandiae. Its description in RNAcentral is "partial contains 5.8S ribosomal RNA, internal transcribed spacer 2, and large subunit ribosomal RNA". Lineage: Eukaryota; Fungi; Ascomycota; Sordariomycetes; Hypocreales; Nectriaceae. The record is from RNAcentral.
CGCACAUUGCGCCCGCUAGUAUUCUGGCGGGCAUGCCUGUUCGAGCGUCAUUUCAACCCUCAGACCCCCUUUUAGGGAUUCAUGGCCUGGUGUUGGAGCUCGGCUGCCUUCUAGCAGCCGUCUCCCAAAUAGAGUGGCGGUCUCGCUGUAGCUUCCUCUGCGUAGUACUAUACCUCGCUCUGGAAACACGGUGUGAUCAUGCCGUAAAACCCCCCUAUUUUUCUUUGGUUGACCUCGGAUCAGGUAGGAAUACCCGCUGAACUUAA